This 506-nucleotide ribosomal RNA is filed under the name uncultured bacterium. RNAcentral describes it as "partial 16S ribosomal RNA". It matches the Rfam family "Bacterial small subunit ribosomal RNA", at positions 28 to 523 of the family's 1533-position model. The record is from RNAcentral.
GAUGAACGCUAGCUACAGGCUUAACACAUGCAAGUCGAGGGGUAACGAGAGGGAAGCUUGCUUUCCUUGUCGACGACCGGCGCACGGGUGAGUAACGCGUAUCCAACCUGCCCCCAACUAGGGAAUAACCUUGCGAAAGUAAGACUAAUACCCUAUAAUUUCCUCAGAUGUCAUCUGACGAGGAAUAAAGAUUUAUCGGUUGUGGAUGGGGAUGCGUCUGAGUAGCUUGUUGGCGGGGUAACGGCCCACCAAGGCAACGAUCAGUAGGGGUUUUGAGAGGAAGGUCCCCCACAUUGGAACUGAGACACGGUCCAAACUCCUACGGGAGGCAGCAGUGAAGAAUAUUGGUCAAUGGGCGGAAGCCUGAACCAGCCAAGUAGCGUGCAGGAUGACGGCCCUAUGGGUUGUAAACUGCUUUUAUACAGGAAUAAAGUUAGCCACGUGUGGUUAUUUGUAGGUACUGUAUGAAUAAGGACCGGCUAAUUCCGUGCCAGCAGCCGCCGUAA